UACAGACUAAAGGCAAGGGAGCUUCCGG
Molecule: small RNA, 28 nt
Filed under: Bombyx mori (domestic silkworm)
Lineage: Eukaryota; Metazoa; Arthropoda; Insecta; Lepidoptera; Bombycidae
Description: piRNA piR-bmo-1928572
Source: RNAcentral